RNAcentral lists this ribosomal RNA (425 nucleotides) under uncultured bacterium. RNAcentral describes it as "bacterial SSU rRNA". It matches the Rfam family "Bacterial small subunit ribosomal RNA", at positions 354 to 796 of the family's 1533-position model. The record is from RNAcentral.
GUGGGGAAUAUUGCACAAUGGGGGAAACCCUGAUGCAGCGACGCCGCGUGGAGGAUGAAGGUCUUCGGGUUGUAAACUCCUUUUCUUGGGAAAGAUAAUGACGGUACCCAAGGAAUAAGCCACGGCUAACUCUGUGCCAGCAGCCGCGGUAAGACAGAGGUGGCGAGCGUUGUUCGGAAUUACUGGGCUUAAAGGGCGAGUAGGCGGUGGAACAAGUCUGAGGUGGAAUCUUAGGGCUUAACCCUAAAACUGCCUUAGAAACUGUUUUACUUGAGUCAGUGAGGGGAGGGCGGAAUUCCUGGUGUAGCGGUGAAAUGCGUAGAUAUCAGGAGGAAGGCCUGUGGCGAAGGCGGCCCUCUGGCACUGUACUGACGCUGAGGCGCGAAAGCGUGGGGAGCAAACAGGAUUAGAAACCCCUGUAGUCC